This 449-nucleotide long non-coding RNA is filed under the name Eucalyptus grandis. Its description in RNAcentral is "long non-coding RNA (EGRA_LNC007910)". The record is from RNAcentral. Lineage: Eukaryota; Viridiplantae; Streptophyta; Magnoliopsida; Myrtales; Myrtaceae.
AGGGUCUCCUUCCUAACAUGGGGUAAAUAAAAGUGUAUUGAUCCAUAGAAUGGAAUUCUGGACAGUAGCCAAGGUGUUGUUGCUCUCUUUGAGUUCUCAAGCAUUUGCUGAGGUCAUGUUGUUGAUUGCUUCAUGGUCCUUUUUCUCAGUAAUGAACUAACAUAAGUUGAAAGUGGUUGAUUCAGUUAUCGAUCUGAUGCAUCUAUGUCUAUGAAGAUGUUGCUAUUUUAUCCAGUGUUCCAUGAACACACCAAGUAGUCUUCAGCUUUACUAAUGCCGUACCAUUUCUUAGCUAACCGGACAAGCAGCUUGCCGCUCUUUGAAGGGAAGUCUAAACUGGAUGGCUCUGCUUUUGUUAACGUUAAUGUGGCAUUCAUUUUUAGUCGUGGCGGAAUGAUGGAAUAAUAUAUCUUGCAACUCAUACAAUCCUUGAUGGUGAAUAAUUACAG